Long non-coding RNA from Nicotiana attenuata, 937 nucleotides. RefSeq lists it as uncharacterized. The transcript has 2 exons. NCBI's taxonomy places the organism in Eukaryota, Viridiplantae, Streptophyta, Magnoliopsida, Solanales, Solanaceae. The record is from RefSeq and is a predicted model, not a curated record.
ACGGGCGUCACUGUUCUUCUUCUCCAAACAACCGAUCCAUUCCCAAAAAUCGCCAAAAUUCAGGCGAGUGAAAUCCAAACUCGCAUCACACGUCUCCCCCUUCUCUCCUCCUGCCACAAGUGUAACGGUUUCUGACACCAAAGAUUCCCCUCCCCCUCACUCGCUCGAAUUUGAGAUAUAGCACGCGAUUGGAAGGUUCUGGGAACGAUCGUUGGAUGAGUGUGAGGCGUUGGAUUGAUUUCAUUUAAUCCGAGCCCCACAUUCAUCAGAGGCUCGUUUUCAAAAGGGACCUCAUCCGAUUUUGAGGGCAGAGAAUAUUGGGGAUGAUUCGGGGGGACUUUUGGAGAAUAUUUUGGGAAAGGAUUUGAGAGAGAUUUCUUCUUUUGAUUGUUCUUUUAUUUCUGGUACGAGAACAGAAGAAAAAAAAAUCACUGAGUGUUCUGCUAUGUCAUUUCUAUGUCGAUUAUUGUUUAAAGUUUUUUCGAAAUCUCUAGAGUCCAUCUUCUUCAUUUCAAUUCUGGAUUUUGGUUUAAAAAUGGAAGUCAUUUGAGAGGUUCGAGUCUGUUGCUGCUCGAGGAUUGAUUUUCAGCUGCUAUUUGCUUCCUUUUGGUCGAUUUCAGCGUUGUAUUAAUUCAGUCUCUUAAUUCCAGGAUCUGAGGCAGGUGCAUCUAGCUACCCGUCUGCCGCACAUUCCUUAUAUUUGAGCGAGAUUUCACAGUGAGCUGCCCCCUUCUGAGCCGUUCAGCAGCAUGCUGGAGUCUCUCCUUUUGUUAUUACUGUCUAUUCUAUUUCAGGCAGUAGGAUAUUUAUAUUUUUGUACAUUCUACUAGUUUUCCUCGUACUUGUGACACUAGAUCCUGGCACACGCAUUAGUAGACUAUCAUCAUUGGGUUGUAUUCCUAAAAUUAUGAUUUCCUUUAGUCAUUCCCGUUCAGUU